Etheostoma spectabile (orangethroat darter) is the source of this 156-nucleotide long non-coding RNA. RefSeq lists it as uncharacterized. The record is from RefSeq and is a predicted model, not a curated record. The transcript has 3 exons. Lineage: Eukaryota; Metazoa; Chordata; Actinopteri; Perciformes; Percidae.
GCAGGUUUUCAUUUUUUUCGGUGACAAUACAGAUUAGCGCCGCCUGCUGUUAUGGAGACGUAUUACGUGUCGCGCACGUGCAGAACGUUCGCUCAAGUCGACGUCCCUUCGGUGUAUUCCGAGGCAUUUUUUUGACUAACUCGGUGAUUGACUGCC